GGGGGCGACCUGGCUUCGACGUGGGUCACAAAACCUGAGGUGCAUGCCGAGGUGCAGAUUACCUCGUAAAUCCAUCUGCAAAACCUAUAGUUGCCAACGACGACAACUACGCACUCGCCGCCUAAACACCGGUAGGGUGCCCUCUGGCCGGAGCCGUGUCUGUGCGUCCGAUUCCCAGGGGUCGACUCUCACAGAAUCGCGAUGAAGCUUGUUCGGGGUGGAUUCGCUAAAACUUACCGGACUCGCGGUACGUCUUCCCUGUCUGUCGGGUAGCGUGCCGUUAAACUCAAAGACAGACUAAGCAUGUAGAUCCGAAGGCGGAGGAUUUACGGACGCGGGUUCGAUUCCCGCCGCCUCCACCA
RNAcentral lists this transfer-messenger RNA (362 nucleotides) under Gammaproteobacteria (g-proteobacteria). RNAcentral describes it as "DRQN01 sp021647505 Standard tmRNA". It matches the Rfam family "transfer-messenger RNA". Rfam says of the family: Bacterial tmRNA, also known as 10Sa RNA or SsrA, is named for its dual tRNA and mRNA-like properties. Its role is to liberate the mRNA from a stalled ribosome. The record is from RNAcentral. RNAcentral also lists the same sequence under 3 other names. Lineage: Bacteria; Pseudomonadati; Pseudomonadota.